CCUACGGGAGGCAGCAGUGGGGAAUAUUGCACAAUGGGGGAAAGCCUGAUGCAGCGACGCCGCGUGAGUGAAGAAGUAUUUCGGUUUGUAAAGCUCUAUUAGCAGGGAAGAAAAUGACGGUACCUGAUUAAGAAGUCCCGGCUAACUACGUGCCAGCAGCCGCGGUAAUACGUAGGGGGCACGCGUUAUCCGGAUUUACUGGGUGUAAAGGGAGCGUAGACGGCAGCACAAGUCUGGAGUGAAAUGCCGGGGCUUAACCCCUGAACUGCUUUGGAAACUGUGCAGCUAGAGUGCAGGAGAGGUAAGUGGAAUUCCUGGUGUAGCGGUGAAAUGCGUAGAUAUUAGGAAGAACACCAGUGGCGAAGGCGGCUUACUGGACUGUAACUGACGUUGAGGCUCGAAAGCGUGGGGAGCAAACAGGAUUAGAUACCCCAGUAGUC
This 440-nucleotide ribosomal RNA is filed under the name uncultured bacterium. RNAcentral's name for it is "partial 16S ribosomal RNA". It matches the Rfam family "Bacterial small subunit ribosomal RNA", at positions 338 to 795 of the family's 1533-position model. The record is from RNAcentral.